This 254-nucleotide ribosomal RNA is filed under the name uncultured bacterium. RNAcentral describes it as "partial 16S ribosomal RNA". It matches the Rfam family "Bacterial small subunit ribosomal RNA", at positions 524 to 776 of the family's 1533-position model. The record is from RNAcentral.
UACGUAGGGUGCAAGCGUUGUCCGGAAUUAUUGGGCGUAAAGAGCUCGUAGGCGGUCUGUCGCGUCUGCUGUGAAAAUCCAGGGCUCAACCCUGGACCUGCAGUGGGUACGGGCAGACUAGAGUGCGGUAGGGGAGAUCGGAAUUCCUGGUGUAGCGGUGAAAUGCGCAGAUAUCAGGAGGAACACCGGUGGCGAAGGCGGAUCUCUGGGCCGUAACUGGACGCUGAGAAGCGAAAGCAUGGGGAGCGAACAGG